Long non-coding RNA from Drosophila ananassae, 1121 nucleotides. RefSeq lists it as uncharacterized. NCBI's taxonomy places the organism in Eukaryota, Metazoa, Arthropoda, Insecta, Diptera, Drosophilidae. The record is from RefSeq and is a predicted model, not a curated record. The transcript is spliced from 3 exons.
AAAUUGGUCUUUGCCGAUAAGCCAAAAAUUAUUUUAUUUUUUCGAUCUAUCUUUACUCGUUAAGCCAUUUAGGUUCGUUGGGAUUUUUUUAAUAAUGAAAAACACGAUCUUUGUCGCAUAAACCUUUAGUAUUUUACGAUUAAAUUCAAAUUUCUCUUCGAAUGUAUAAGAGAACGAUGCAUACGAUGUGUUUUCGUGGAAAUUUUUUUGGCAUAAACAUACAGAAAUUUUUUUGGCAUAAACAUAUACCAGAUUUUACUGUUUAUAAAUUGGUCUUUGCCGAUAAGCCAAAAAUUAUUUUAUUUUUUCGAUCUAUCUUUACUCGUUAAGCAAUUUAGGUUCAUUGGGAUUUUUUUAAUAAUGAAAAACACGAUCUUUGUCGCAUAAACCUUUAGUAUUUUACGAUUAAAUUCAAAUUUCUCUUCGAAUGUAUAAGAGAACGAUGCAUACGAUGUGUUUUCGUGGGCAUUUUUUUGGCUCACAGUUGCGAUAAUAGGAACAGUAAUUUUUCAAAUAUCAAGAUUCUAACUAUACAUACAUAUGUACAUUUUUUUACUAUAAAAAAAUAAAAUUUGUUUUUCCAUGAAGCUUUAAUAAUUAAAUACAUAUCUAUACUUAUGUUUGACAGAUCGUUUGUGUAAAAGCCGUUAUAUGACGCAUUCUACGUAAUACGCAGUUACUGUAUUUGAUGGCGCCGUUUACGAUUUUCUCUUCACUGUGCAAGAUGGAAAUAAAAUGAGCAAUUAAGUGAAAUAUAUUUAUAAGACACAUGUUUGUAUGUGUAUACAUGUAUGCUUGUAAGGGAACAUUUUCCAGCAAUUACUGACAACAAGGUACGUUAUCAUUUUAAAAAGGAAUGACCAUUUUCAAGAGCUUUUCAGCAAACUUUGCACGGUUGGCCCAAGCUUUCUACAUGAUUAAACCCGACCAGAUCAGGAAUGUGUAUUUACAGUUCAGGUAAAGAUACACAGCCACGAACUUUUACUGUAAAAAAUGUCCUUAUGUAGGUGACGCAUAAUGUCCCCCGGGAGUACUAUAGGUACGGAUUAUUCCGUAUCUAGAAUAUAAUUGAAACAAUUAUUGCGUAAUGGUUCAAGCGCCAAAUUGCAAAAAUUUAAAAA